AGGACGAACGCUGGCGGCGUGCCUAACACAUGCAAGUCGAACGGAGCUGAGGAGCUUGCUCCUUAGCUUAGUGGCGGACGGGUGAGUAACGCGUGAGUAACCUGCCUCUGAGAGGGGAAUAACGUUCUGAAAAGAACGCUAAUACCGCAUAACGUAUUGAAGCCGCAUGACUUUGAUACCAAAGAUUUUAUCGCUCGGAGAUGGACUCGCGUCCGAUUAGCUUGUUGGUGAGGCAACGGCUCACCAAGGCGACGAUCGGUAGCCGGACUGAGAGGUUGAUCGGCCACAUUGGGACUGAGACACGGCCCAGACUCCUACGGGAGGCAGCAGUGGGGGAUAUUGCGCAAUGGGGGCAACCCUGACGCAGCAACGCCGCGUGAAGGAUGAAGGUUUUCGGAUUGUAAACUUCUUUUAUCAGGGACGAAAUUUGACGGUACCUGAUGAAUAAGCUCCGGCUAACUACGUGCCAGCCGCUGC
RNAcentral lists this ribosomal RNA (477 nucleotides) under uncultured bacterium. RNAcentral's name for it is "bacterial SSU rRNA". It matches the Rfam family "Bacterial small subunit ribosomal RNA", at positions 26 to 518 of the family's 1533-position model. The record is from RNAcentral.